GAGUGGCGGACGGGUGAGUAACACGUGGGUAACCUGCCCUAAAGUGGGGGAUAACAUUUGGAAACAGAUGCUAAUACCGCAUAAAACCUAACACCGCAUGGUGUAGGGUUGAAAGAUGGUUUCGGCUAUCACUUUAGGAUGGACCCGCGGUGCAUUAGUUAGUUGGUGAGGUAAAGGCUCACCAAGACCGUGAUGCAUAGCCGACCUGAGAGGGUAAUCGGCCACACUGGGACUGAGACACGGCCCAGACUCCUACGGGAGGCAGCAGUAGGGAAUCUUCCACAAUGGACGAAAGUCUGAUGGAGCAACGCCGCGUGAGUGAAGAAGGUUUUCGGAUCGUAAAACUCUGUUGUUGGAGAAGAAUGUAUCUGAUAGUAACUGAUCAGGUAGUGACGGUAUCCAACCAGAAAGCCACGGCUAACUACGUGCCAGCAGCCGCGGUAAUACGUAGGUGGCAAGCGUUGUCCGGAUUUAUUGGGCGUAAAGCGAGCGCAGGCGGUUUCUUAAGUCUGAUGUGAAAGCCUUCGGCUCAACCGAAGAAGUGCAUCGGAAACUGGGAAACUUGAGUGCAGAAGAGGACAGUGGAACUCCAUGUGUAGCGGUGAAAUGCGUAGAUAUAUGGAAGAACACCAGUGGCGAAGGCGGCUGUCUGGUCUGUAACUGACGCUGAGGCUCGAAAGCAUGGGUAGCAAACAGGAUUAGAUACCCUGGUAGUCCAUGCCGUAAACGAUGAGUGCUAGGUGUUGGAAGGGUUUCCGCCCUUCAGUGCCGCAGCUAACGCAUUAAGCACUCCGCCUGGGGAGUACGACCGCAAGGUUGAAACUCAAAGGAAUUGACGGGGGCCCGCACAAGCGGUGGAGCAUGUGGUUUAAUUCGAAGCAACGCGAAGAACCUUACCAGGUCUUGACAUCCUUUGACCACUCUAGAGAUAGAGCUUUCCCUUCGGGGACAAAGUGACAGGUGGUGCAUGGUUGUCGUCAGCUCGUGUCGUGAGAUGUUGGGUUAAGUCCCGCAACGAGCGCAACCCUUAUUACUAGUUGCCAGCAUUAAGUUGGGCACUCUAGUGAGACUGCCGGUGACAAACCGGAGGAAGGUGGGGACGACGUCAAAUCAUCAUGCCCCUUAUGACCUGGGCUACACACGUGCUACAAUGGAUGGUACAACGAGUUGCGAGACCGCGAGGUUUAGCUAAUCUCUUAAAACCAUUCUCAGUUCGGAUUGUAGGCUGCAACUCGCCUACAUGAAGCCGGAAUCGCUAGUAAUCGCGGAUCAGCAUGCCGCGGUGAAUACGUUCCCGGGCCUGUACACACCGCCCGUCACACCAUGAGAGUUUGUAACACCCAAAGCCGGUGAGGUAACCCUUCGGGGAGCCAGCCGUCUAA
RNAcentral lists this ribosomal RNA (1382 nucleotides) under Latilactobacillus sakei. RNAcentral describes it as "Lactobacillus sakei 16S ribosomal RNA". It matches the Rfam family "Bacterial small subunit ribosomal RNA", at positions 93 to 1460 of the family's 1533-position model. The record is from RNAcentral. Lineage: Bacteria; Bacillati; Bacillota; Bacilli; Lactobacillales; Lactobacillaceae.